CAGUGAAGUCCCUGCUGGUGAGUUUGUGGUUCGUUUGAAAGGAGUGGACAGCAGCUCCACCUCCAGAAUGACAGCAAGCACCUUCCAGAGACAGGCCUUGACACGGAUCAAGACCUCCAGCAUCUCUGUCACUGUGAGUGUAAUAACCUUCAGUUUUCUUUCCCAUUAGUUUGAUCAUAGACCCAGAUAUUGCUUAAGGUAUCAUCAUGUUGGUUCUAUUCUUCUUUCAUUAGUGCUUCUUUCUAUUAAUUUACACAUUUCUAUCCUUUCACCCUUUCAGGCUCAGGUCAAUAACACCAGCAUAGAGCCAGACUCCACCGUCUCCAUCCCUUUCACUGUCAGCAACACCACCAAUGGAGUUGUUGAUGAAUCUGCAAACGGGACGUUCACAGUACGAGUCAACAAUGACCGCAGCUAUGCUACAUCUUCACCCAGCACUGUCACCAUAGCAGGGGGCAGUGGAGGCAAAGCCAAUGGCACUGUUACUUUGACGGUACCAGCCAAUGCUGCUUCAGGAACAGAUGUGACCCUCACCAUCGAGGUAGAAAAUGCAGCCGCUACUGACAUCAACUUUGAGGUCAUCAGGCUGUCUGUGAUUGCCAGGGUAAGACAAAAACACAGGUUGUAUACUUUGUUGAGAAUGCAUAAUAGAUGAAUAACUUUGUGCAUUUUUUGAAAAUCAGUUGAUGUCUUUCACUCAGCUGCUGAUGAGUUUUAAUUAACAUCCUUUGCUAGCUUAUCCCUCCCAUCUUAUUGUCUGUGCCGGUGACUGAACAACAAAACAACAAAUCUUCAGUUUUUCACUCUUCAAAUUUGUCAAGAGUCAUACCUAAAAUAUCCUCCAUGUUGUUCAUGGAGACUAUUGAAAUAACAUUCGCCCCAUUGUCAACAGGAUGAAAUAUGUUUGGAAUAAAGUUUGUGUUUUGGUUGUCCCUGGUGUCAACGGUUAUGACAAUCAUGUUGUUAGAAAGGUUUUGACCAAUCAGAACCAGGUACUUUACACAACCAGGUAAUAAGAAAGUAUCUCCUUUCCAUCUCUUCCUUUUCGGUGUCUGUCUCCCCAGGUUACAGACAUUACCCGCCCGGUGUGCCAGGAAGUCAACACAAUAAGCAACUGUUCUUCUUGUAUGUCACUCUGUGCAGCAUCUCAGUGGACAUUCAUUGCAAACAUCAUGGAUGGCAUAAAUGGAACUGGCAUUGACAGGGUCACCAUCCGCCAAGGAAACGGUACCCUCAAUACCAGCACGACCACUGGAACAGACGGAGAGAUUAUUACAGUAGCCACCUACAGCGCCUCCUGCUGUUCAGAGAUUGUAGAGCUGACUGCUGUGGACAAAGUGGGAAACGUGGGGACAUGUGUGGGGCGGUCUGGAGCACUUUCCACAGCUGCGCCACUUAAUUUGGUUUGGUUCUGGAUCAGUGUUGUGCUUUCUCUUCUCUGGAGGUAAAAGAAACGAAUGAAUGUCACUCUUCUAACAUAAAAUUGUAAAUACCAGACAGUUCUGGUAUCAUUAAGGGGGGUUUGGAUACUUAUUACUGUGGCUUGAAGAAAAUUCUUUGUUCUCUAUAUCUAAUCUAAAAUCUAUGUUACUAACAUCCCUCAAAAACCCUCUUUUGUAAAACUACUUUUAUGAUUCUACUGAAAGUUUAAAUUUUUAAGUUUUUGUUUUAAUAUCAUACAAACAUGUUGAUUCGUGUGUCUUUGCUGUAACCAUUUGUCAUUUUUUAGGGUGGUAGAAAACAAUAAAAAAGGGCUGUUCACACUGCUUCAUCUAUGUUUAACAGCACUUAUAGUCCUGUUGGUGUUGGUGGAUAGAGAGAAAGGUGUCAAUUUACAUAAAGACAUUGCAUAAGCUUCAUUAAGAGUAUGAUCUGUCUAUCUGUGUACAGUUUUUUAUUAUUAUUAUUUAACUUUGUCCUUACUCUUAAGGACUAUAUAAUAUAAAAUAUAAAGUCAUCCUUCUCAUGCAGUAAAGUAAAAGUGAAAGUAUUUUACCUGCUGAAGUACCUGUUAUGCAAGAAUGUCUCUUUUUAUGUUUUUAAUUAUGUUGUUCAGCUUUGUGGUAAGUGACCCCACCCAAAAGCUUUUAAUGGGUCAUUGUGUGAACAGCUAUUCACACAAUGACCCAUUAAAAGCAACAGAAAACACCUUAAAAACUUGAAUGUGGGAUUGAUUAUAGCCACAGACAAAGAAUUAAACAAAUCACAAAGAUAUAGUAAAGAAUGAAUAUAGAAGUCAACUAAAACACAAGCAAAAAGCAGAGCAAAAACAAAAGCACAAGGAUUGCCUGAACGAGAGGCAGCAGGACAGCAAUUCUGCUCCAAAUGCCUCUCCUUGCUGUAGGCAACUCUUGGACAUUUUCAACAUUAAGGAUCAGGUGAGGCUGAAAGUCAGUUGGUGACUUCAGCUGGGCAAAGAUACAGCUGUAACAUCCCCACCCUAAAAACAAUUAAAGAUAAUCUGUUAUGCAAAAACAAGUGUUAACAUCAUCACUGCACGCGCAAGUUUACUCGAAAGAAAUACAAUUAUCUAUUCAUUGAGUUAAAGAUACUGUGCAAAUUCUUCCAUUACUUACAAGAAAAUUCCUUGAACCAGUGUUUCUAACCAAGGCCGUACGUUAUAAAAUACUGUCAGUUGCAAAAGCACAAAAACACUCAAUUCACUAAAGCUAAAGCUAAAUGAAACUACAGCUGAGGAAGGUGUAAAUGGGUCAUGUUAAACAAAAUCUUAUUAACCAGCAUUAGGGCAAAAGAAGAUACUACAACCAUGUUUAAGCGCAUCCAUCAAAAAAAGUUGUCAACAAAGAGGGUGCCACUCCCACACAGAGCAAGACAGCUACUACCACAAGGUUAAUACAAAGAAUAAUAGAAUGAAACACUUUGGGCCUGAUCUACUAAAGGCUUUCCCGGCAAAAACUUGAUAGUGUAAGCAAACCUGAUCUACUAACCGGGUGCACCUAGGAUUGCAUCUGUCAAAUGAGCAAAACAGCACACACAACCAAUUUAGUGUGUUUGCCUUUAUGAACAUUCAGAUUGUAUGUAGAUCAUCAGAAUGUGCAAAAUACCGGGAGGAACAGAUGGGAUCAUUUAGUACCUGCAAUGUGAUUUAUCAAACACGGAAACCAAUUGCGGUUGCUGUUUUGCGUCUUUAUUUAGCAAGUUUUAAAGGCACGGUCAUUGUGGGGAGAAGGAGGCAGAGGUGCCAUGAUAGACGUCAUGAUCCUUGUCCAAAUGCCUGUGAUUUAUUUCGUUUUUUCCAAUAAAUAGGGAUUUUCAUAAAUAAUAAGGUCAGACACAGAACUGACGAAAAAACUGAUCUCUUUGUCUUAAUGAUUUUAAUCCCUUUUAUGAUUUCUAGUAUAUCUUCUUGCAUCUGUAAAGCACUUUGAGUUGCCUUGAGUAUUAAUGGUGCAACUCAAAUAAACUUGCCUUGCUUGCCUUUUAUGCAGUUCCCCAAAAUGAUAGGUACAUUUCCGUGGCUUCAAAAUUUAUUUUUUCAUUUAUGACCACACUGCUCUCACAAACUCUCCAUGGUGACGGCCAAUAGUGCACGCGAAAUCCUUGUUUAAAGAGGGCGGUCCGCACCGCUUUUGCUCCUGUUAUCAAUUGCACACUUAAUGAUAGUAGAUCACCCACAACACGCCCACUAAUAGCACAUGCAAUUUUUUUAGUUUGCACAAGCAAUUUAGCAUUCCCUAUUUAGGAUCUUAGUAGAUCAGGCCCUUAAUCUUUCAAUAUUUCAAAGUAACAUAGGUGACCCACACAAAAGUUGAGUGCAACAGUCACAAACCAAAUGGAUCAACACAAGCAGACUGAUUACACAUCUAACAGCUCCAGAAAGAUCCAACGAUAUUGACUGCCACUACCACAACACAAACCAUCAAGUCUUCAGAAGUCAUACUAGAUACUGUUACAUAUGAAGGCAACUAACCAAACAAGUUAAACUUGCAAAUGAGGAGGCUGCACCCACCAUUCUAAGAUCCAAUGAUCUGUGGAGUGACCCACAAGGUCACAACCAAACUGAAUUUGUCACAAUCAGGAAACAAAAGUGUGGACUGCAUCAUCCGCUACACAAAGAGGUCAUACUUUAGUCAUCUCUACACAAAUGUUGCAAAACACAAAGAACCAAAGCACAAUAAUCCCCUGAAUGAGAAGCGGGAAAGGGCAGCAGUUCCUUUAAAAUGCCUCACCCUACUGAAGACCGUGUUUGGACCUUAACCUUCCAGGACCAGGUGAUUAGCAGUUGGUGACUACGCCUAAGCAGAAUGAGGAAAGAGAAAAGGGGAAAAGAAGACACAACAAACAGUCAUAACAGUGAACAACUGCAAGGUUAGAUAAGCCUAAAAAUAUGGUGUUGAGCAUGACUGGAGGUGUGGUUUGUAACAUAAGUGACAUUUCAUUGACAUCAAAGGUAGUGAUUUCAAACAUCAACGGCCAGUGAGUGGGUGGAAUGAUGACAGUUCAUCAGAAUUUUACUGCUCUUAACUUCCCUGUAAACCAAGUAUUGUGUUUUCUACUGUUGUGUUGAUUGAAACUUUCCUUUCAAACGAUAAAAUCAUGUGUUAAAAAUAAGACCAGUGCAGAUGUGCAAAAAAUUUAAAGUUGCUUGAGUUAUCUAUUAAGGCUGCCGGUAAAAGCCAACAAUACCCUGACAACCAUCACAGAAGACUACUCCCCUCUUUAUCCCAAACCAAACGGAGCAUUUUAAGAGUGACAGACACUGAUUAUCUCCAGCUGAUGAUCAGGAAUUCAAGAGGGCUCAAGUAUCAGUAUCACCCAGAAACAGGAAGAUCUCUUAAACUUCUUUCAUUUUGAGUUUGCUUGCAUAGCUUCCUUCCUUUUUUUUCUGUGGAGAAAGGUCAGUUUUGUAAGUUUUUCAAUACUUCAUCACUUUUGGUUCACAUAGGGACUUAAAUACCUUUGUUAGAGUAAAUUUUUGUGGUAACAUUUCCCAAAGAGAAUAGAGAAGAUGAUGCUGACUUGUCUUUAACUUUGCUCACUGAAUAACCUCAGGUAUAUGAUGUCCACCCUCACAGUCACUCUAAAUCUCUUAAAAUUGAAAAUCAGACAACCUGCACCUGCUCAAGGUGAGUUCACCUGACAGAUAAGAUGGAAGAAAAAAAAUUGUACGUGCACCUGAGAGGCACUCCCACAACAACACUUCCAGUAAAGGGACGUAUAAAGGAAUUCUUUGAAGCCAAUUACUCAUUGCAAAUGCAACUAUAAAAAGACAGAAUCCAACCACUUGUCUUAGUUUCCUGAAAGGACUGGCAACACUCAACAAGCCAUGCCGACAUAGUGACACUGAAGUGGAGCCAACACCACUUCAGAAAAGGACUGGACUGCAGAGUACACACAGGUAAGACAGUGUCAAAUUGUACUGAUUGUCUGUAAAAUGAGUUGAUCUUAGUCUAAAUGUAUUAUUUUCUUUACUUAUUUAAAACUAUGUCUGCUGUGUACUUUAAUGAUGACAAGAAUCACUUUUUUUCUAUUUGUAGAAAUAGCCAUAAAUGUAGGAAAAUACAACAUACAAACCAUGAAAAGUCCCAAACAAGCACAGUGACAUUUUUAACUGUUUUAACUAAGCUUGUUUACUUAAAAACAUCCAAGUUUCAGGCAGUAUGACAAGUGAAGCAGCCAUCUACUUCUGUAAGAUUACUCCUGUGAAAGUUUGAGCCUGUGCCACUUUUAUUUCUCUCCCUUCUGCUCCCUGAGCUGAUUCUUCUUUUCCUCAGGCGAUUCACUCGUCACCUGUUGCCUCAUCAUACCUGCACCUCUAGAGUCCCUCUGCUGUUUCCUUAUUCUGGCAAAAUAUUUUUAAUCACAGAGAAGAGAGGACAAGAUAAACCUAAGAAAAACUGUUUUUGUCUGGGUGAGUUUUGGUGUUGCCAUUACCGCAACGAAACAAGGCAUGAUAUCUGGUUAAGAGAAGCAGAGGAAGACACAAGAGCUUGGACACUCCAUCUUCAUCAUCCUCAUCUUCAGUCAUGGUGCCCACACACACAGUCAUGAUCACAGCGGUGGUGAUCCUCUCCCUGUCAGGCUUCACUCACAGCUUCAAGCCACUGUUUGCUGGGAGCUCCUUAACUCAUCGAGUCAUCACGGCAAGGGCGGUGAUCAGAAAGACAGCUGAGGUCUGCAGAGACAUCGCAGCUGCAGAGGGACGAGACUUCAGCCUGACUGUGAGUUUCAGAGAGGAAUCAAAAUCCUAUAGAAGGAAUGUGAUUAAUUAGAAUAUCAAAUGUAAAUAUUGUAGGUUUUGUUCAUUUUUUGGACAUGGGGCCAGUGGAUCAGUUCAUAUUUUACUUCUGGUGAAACAACAAAAGUUAGGGCACACACUUUCACAGAUAGCUUUUCUUGGCUUAAAAGCUUAAAAUUUCUCACAAUGAUUUAAGAUUUUUAUUACAGAAAUUCAUAGAAGGAAAUUCUUAGCCUUCAGGGCCCACUGUCUCACACAGUGUUUCCUACAGAGGAGCUCCUAAUAGAGCUAUAAGUCUCUCUAAUGUUGAUGUUUAGUUAUCAAAUCACCAAGUGCUGGUGCAAUAAAGUUCGAAGGACUAGUUCUUUUUUAUUUGGAAUAGAUUUUUUAACAUGCAGCCAUAUCAACAAAUUGAUAUCUGUCAUGAUUUCAUCUCCAGAUUGAUGACAGUCUGACAGCUGGGAAAGUGGUGAGAGCCUGCUCCCCUGAAGGCUUCUUCAGCUCAAUCGUCUCUACCAUCAAGUUCCAAACCUCCAUUACCACUAUGUACUUAAGCAAUGGUAAAACGGAUCAGGUUUAUGCGCUAAGUGCAAGGCACCAUUUUGAUGCUGAGACUUUUGUAGAAGGACGGGAUGUCAUUACAUCAGGUAAACAUCAAACAAUGUUUCAUUACAACAUUGAAAUGUUGAAAUGCAGUGUCUCAUUUUUCGUAGAAAAAUAAACAUUUCCAGUUUUUCUUUUAAAAACAUUGAAAUGUUAAUUGUUGGAGAUAUACCACAUACUCAAAAGUCAAAUGACUUAACCCUGUUCAGUAAGAGCAGAAAACAGUGCCAACAUCAGCAACAUGACCUUUGAAGUCAGCCAAAGUAAUCUCUGUCAAACAGAAGUGUUGCUUCAGUGGGUUUUAGCUUGUCACAAGACUCACCGAGAUCAUAGUAAUGUCUUGUACUGACCUAUAAAAGUAUGCAUGUCCAUUUAAAUGGGAAAGACCACUUUAUUAUUUGUAAUGUAUAAAAACCACCUGUAGGGGCUGGAUAUGAGUCCGACUGAGUAACCACAUGCUACUAAAGCAACCAUUUUUUCAUUUCCCUUUCCCUUUCGGAAUAAAGCAGGAGGUGAUUUCUUAUCUAUUUAAUGUAUUCAUGUAUUUAUUUUAAAUCAAAAACCUUGUUUAUUUAAGGCAAAAUUAACUUCAAGAUAAAAGUGACAACUUUGUCCACAGGGGGUCACCCUAAUCAACACAGGUUGAAAGGUCCUGACAGGAGCAUUAACAUUAUUAUAAAGUAAGAGGUGACAGGACAUAGUAGCAGUUCUAGCUUGUGUCUUAGUUUCCUUAUCACUCUCUUUUCCAUGAGGUGUCUCUUCUGUGAAGGCCAGCGUCAAACUGGGAAAAUUUCUGACAGGGAGGUGGACUCUUGGAGGAAUCUUUCAUCCCUUACAGGUGAGACUGAUGAGUUAAGUUUCUUCAUUUAAAUGGUAAAAAAUUAAAGGCAUGGUUAGUAAGGGUAAUAAGUUUUAUUCUCUGUUCAUUUAGGACUUCUACAGUCACAGUAACUGGGUGGAGCUGGGGAGAACGACCCCGUACAGCACCCUGAUCAGACCAGACGAGCCUCUGAAGAAUCUUGCAGGUAGGAUACAGUUGUCUAUGCCAUUUAGUGACUCUAGUGAGAAGAAACACUGGACACGUGACUAACCCAAAACCACACACACACACACACACACACACACACACACACACACACACACACACACACACACACACACACCUGCACACAUCUUUACUAUUUCAUAUUCUCAUUAUUGUUUACUGCAGGCCCAAAUACCCCAACCUGUAGAGACUGUAUUGAUGGAGACUGCACAGACAACAUUUUGCCUGAAGUGCUGAGUCAGGGGCUUCUCACCUCAGGCUACUUCAGCAUACUACCAUUCAAACCUACAGGUAUCUUCAAUAUGUCAUCUGCACACUGUAGAGUUUCACUAGCAUGUAUACUCAAAAAACUUUUGUAGGUUUCAUAAAAUCUGUUUUUCUUGCUUAAAGGUAAAUGCAGUCAUGGUGGAUUUCCCGACACCACCAGUUUAUUAAAGCCAGUUGGGGGAAUCAACAAGGACACUGUCAAGUCCAAUCAUGGCUUCCUUCACGAAAAAGCUGCUGAUCUGGCUGUGAAAGCCACCAUGGAGCUGUUGGAGGACAUCAGAGUGGCUGUAGGAGACAAGAGUUUUCUGCGGUAAGGGACACCUUCCCCUGCAGCACUUUUGGAGCAUAUAAAAGAAAAUCAAAGACCUGAAAGACCUGAUCACUGACAGUUAUUUAACUCCUAAUAUUUGCCUUUCUCUCAUUCUUGCAGGUUGAUGGGCAUCUCCCAGUCCUCUGUGCUGUGUUUUGUCAUUGACACUACAGGCAGUAUGGCUGAUGAUAUAGCCGAGGCCAAGAGAGUUUCCUUUGAAAUCAUUGACAGAAAGAGAGGAACCCCACUGGAACCGUCCGACUACAUACUAGUACCUUUCAACGACCCAGGUACACACAUAUGUAGCUCAUAAGUAAAUAUUGUCAUUGCUUUUGGGGGACAGUGGAUGUUGAUGUUUUCUGUUUUAUUUUCUAGGUUUUGGUCCUUUAAUUCAAACAACUGAUGCAGAUGUCUUCAAAGACCAAAUCAAUAGGCUGACUGCAUCUGGAGGAGGAGACACCCCUGAGCUUUCCUUGUCUGGACUGCAGGUGUUCACGUGAUCAGUUUCCACAAUUCAUCAUUCACAUAAACAUCAAAGUAUCACAAGUAACAGAAGCAGAUGAUCAAGUCAUGAAAGGAUUUAACAUAACAUCAUAAAAAAAUGUACUGAAGUUUAUGGAAAAAGAUCUUUCAUCAAUAACAUUUCUGAUAUGUCAUCUACAGCUUGCCUUGACUGCUGCUCCACCUUUCUCUGAUAUCUUUGUCUUCACUGAUGCACCGGCUAAAGAUGCUCACCUAAAAGGCACAAUCACUGCUCUUAUAGAGAGCACCAAGUCUGUGGUAAAAUCACUUCUAGUCAAAGCCCAGAUUCUAAAAAUUACUCUUUUACUCCAUAUUUCACAGACAUAAAAACGUGCUUUGAUAUUUUUGUAAAAAAAAAAAAAAAACUAAGCAUCUUAAAAAGUGAAGCAGUGCAGGCCCUCAGUGAUGUUUUUGUUGUUGUAUUUUUUAACCUCAUGUUUGUAGGUAACUUUCAUGCUCACUGAUGUCCUGAGCUCUCGCCGGCGCCGCAGAGACCUUGGUCAGCAAGUGUCCUCGCGCAUUAUUAGCCAAUCAGACACCCAACUGUACCGUGACCUCGCCCAGGCCUCAGGUGGUCAAACCAUCGAGGUCUCAAAACUAGAUCUGUCUCUGGCUACAAGUGUCAUAGAGGAUUCAUCGGCCAGUGCUGUGGUGAGACACUGAGAAAGAAUCUUACUGAAUUGAUUUUUUACUUAAGAGUAUGUUUUUACAUUUACUGUCUCUCUUUCUCCUUAUUUUAGGUGACAGUUUUCCAGGUGGUGAAGAAUCCUGGCAGGCCUGAUAAUUUCACAUUUACUUUAGAUGAUUCCCUGAAGAACGUAACUGCCUAUGUUACAGGAGCCUCCUCUCUCAGCUUCACUCUCACCAGCCCUUCAGGUGUUGUUUCCACUGUUGAUUCUCAAGUUAAAACUAGUUUUGUUCCAAAUCUAAGUCACCUUUUUCCAAAAAAUUAACCAAAAGAACCUUUAGAUUUGUUAGUGUUAGUAAGCAAAUGACAUCUUUUCUUCUUUCUCAGGUGUAUUUCAGAACUCCAGUCAGGCCAGUGGUCCUCUGGCCUCCAUCACCACAGUAGGAAACCUCCGUCGGUUAAGAUUCAACAGUGACAAUCAAACAGGAUUGUGGAAAAUCGGUGUUGAUUCUAAUAGCCAGUACACUGUUAAAGUCACAGGUCAGUGUUAUGGAUAUUUUGCGUCUGUUUACAGUUGUAUCAGCUUUGUGGCAGCCCUUACUAUCUGUUUGUUGUGUCUAUAUUAAAGGUCAAAGUUCAGUGAACUUCAUAUUUAAUCUUGUGGAAGCAAAUGAAGGAAUCCAUGGAGACUUCAGUCUGAAGGAGGGACGUCCUUUUUCAGGUCCGAUCAAAUAUUAUUGCCCUGAUCUUUUUUUUUUUCAUUUCAACAUGCUUUACUUACUUGAGCACCUAUCACUUAUCUGAGACUUUUCUCUGUGUGGUCCACAACAUAAUAAAAAUUCAUAAUUGUUACUCUGAAAAUCUGCAUUUUCAUCAACCAGUGAAAAAGGUCGGAGUAAAACUAUGACACCUUAACCAUACUAAUUGCUUAAAUAAAGUUAAAAAUUGUGUCACACUGCUUAUGCAGUUUCUUUCUCUCUCCUGCCCACACUCUCAGGUGGUAACAUCAGCCUCUUGGUCACUGUGACAGGAAGUGACACAGUGAAUGUCACAGAGUUAACCCUGUUUGGCAACUCGGGGCCAACAGAGGUUGAUGGAACUUUGCAGGUAUGUGUUAGCCAGCGUGUAUUUCUUACCCCCUAUUUCCACCUUAUCUGGAACGGCUCCACUACGGAAUCCUGAGGCCAGCUAUCCUCAGGACACCCUGGCUGCACCUAGCAAUUCUGUCCAUAAAAGUUCUCAACAGAAUCGAUGAAAAAGAGCAGCUCUGGCGGAGUCCAACCCUCACCGGAAACACGUCCGAGUUACUAACCCUUGUGGUCCAAGCUCUGGCACCAGUUGUAGGGAAUGAACAGCCCUUGUUAGGGUGUCUGUUACCCCAUACUCCCGGAGAACCCCCCACAGGAUUCCCAGGGGGACUCCGUCAAAUGCCUUCUCCAAGUCCGCAAACACAUGAUGUUGGGCAAACUCCCAUGCACGCUCGAGGAUCCUGCUGAGAGUGUAGAACUGGUCCACAGUUCCAUGACCAGGGCAAAAACUGCAUUGCUCCGCUUAAAUCUGAGGUUCAACUAUCUAGCAAACCCUGCUAUCCAGGACCCCUGAAUAGGCCUUUCCGGGAUGAGGAUGAGGAGUGUGAUCCCCCUUUUGUUGGAACACACCCUCCGAUCCCCCUUCUUAAAAAGACCACCACCCCGGUUUGCCAAUCCAAAGGCACUGCCCCCGAUGUCCACACGAUGUUGCAGGGUUGUGUCAGCCAUGUCAGACCCACAACAUCCAGGGCCCUGAGGAACUCAGGGUGAAUCUUGUCCACCCCUAGGGCCUUGCCACCAAGGAGUGUACUAACCACCACAGCAGCCUCAGCCCAUGAGACAGAAGAGCCCACAUCCAAGUCUCCCAGCCCUGCUUCCAAAGGGGUUGGGUGCAAUGUGAGUUGGGCAGCAGCCUAAAGUGGACACCUUGGCGAUCCAAAUUUCUGCUGCAGAGGGUAGUACAACAACUUCCAAAACAGCAAUUUGUGCUGUCACUGUAGGUCAACUUUGGCGCCCCCUGUGGACAAAGGGUCAUUUUUGUGACACUUUGUCACAUUCUGUUUGCUAAACCUUGUCCCGCACUGUACUAUUUUCUAAAAUCUAAUCCUAUUUUGUUUUGAAAGUCAAACAUGUUGGUCAUUGUGGUGUGGGAAAUAGUAGCAGUCUAACCUCUUUUUGUCUUCCACUUCUCUGCACUGUCUACAUUGUGACAGCAUAAGUCUCUCCCUUUUCUGUCUUCACAGUCAGAGGGGAGUGGAAACUUUCUAGUGACAUUCAGUGGAGUCCCUGCUGGUGAGUUUGUGGUUCGUCUGAAAGGAGUGGACAGCAGCUCCACCUCCAGAAUGACAGCAAGCACCAUCCAGAGACAGGCCUCUACACAGAUCAAGACCUCCAGCAUCUCUGUAACUGUGAGUGUAAUAACCUUUUCCGUCCCAUUAGUUUGAUAGGUAUUACUCACGUGUGAGAUACUGAGUAUAAGAUACUCUUGGAUGUGCUUUGCAAGGAACCAUCACUGCUUCCUCCCUAUAUCCUUGGCCCUCCUUGGCAAAAGUGUCUGAUUAUGUUUUGACACUUCCUGAUGGUUAUAUUAGGACUCCAUGUGUCAAUGUUGAUCUACAAAACAAAGGAUGUCUUCAUGGCACUGUUUCAAAGUGUUUUUUUUUUUUUUUUUUUACCUCAUAUUGCUUGCCUACUUUGACUACACCAAGACCCUGGAAACAAAGAUAGAAAACAUAUAUCAUCAUGCUACUUCUAUUCUUUCAUCAGUGCUUCUUUCUUUUAUUUUACACAUUUCUAUCCUUUCACCUUUUCAGGCUCAGGUCAAUAACACCAGCAUAGAGCCAGACUCCACUGUCUCCAUCCCUUUCACUGUCACCACCACCACCAAUGGAGUUGUUGAUGAAUCUGCAACCGGGACAUUCACAGUACGAGCCAACAAUGACCGCAGCUAUGCUACGUCCUCACCCAGCACUGUCACCAUAGCAGGGGGCAGUGGAGGCAAAGCCAAUGGCACUGUAACAUUAACGGUACCAGCCAAUGCUGCUUCAGGAACAGAUGUGACCCUCACUAUCGAGGUAGAAAAUGCAGCCACCACUGACAUCAACUUUGAGGUCAUCAGGCUGUCUGUGACUGCCAGGGUAAGAAAAAAAACCCAGGUUGUAUACUUUGUUGAAGAAUGCAUAAUAGAUGAAUAAGUUUGCGCCCCUUUUUUUGGCAGAAUUAUUUGCUACACGAAUGAUAUUUGGUCAAUUUCAUCAAAACCUUGAAGAUAAACUGUUUUGAAUUUAAUAUUGUGUAUAAAGAUACUUUUUUUUUACAAAAUCACAAUUAGAUUCAAUCACUAAUUAAGUUAAUAUCUCUUGACCAAAGGAAAAAAAAUGGCUUAGCUGGCUUGCAGUAUUGGUCCAAAGCUGAUGUGCAAGUGUGUUCCAGAGAGCAUUCUUCAGAAUAAAACAGCAUAAUAUCAUCAGCAUAUUGCAUCCACUUAUAAUGGAGAUGAUAUUGCAUAUUCGGUUGUUUUAUAUAUAAGAGAGACACUGUUUAUUGGUAGAUAAAACUCUUUUGGGAAGUUUAAUAAUUUGACUCACUGGAAUGUAUCUGCAUUGCACUUCACUGCACAAUAUCCAGCUUGUUACCAGGCUACCAACUACAAAUAAGAUAACACAAGAUAUGAGUUUUACAAUUUGAAAAUGAUACAGUUAGAAACAAAAGUUGUGUUAUUAGCCUACGUACUGGUCAAACCAAAAUCAAAGUUUUAUUUGUGCCAUAGUCUUCACAUUAGCCUGCUUUGCUGUUACAGAUCACAGUAAAAUAAAGAUUUUCAUCCAUGGUUAGUAUAACAUCAGAGUAUUUUUGUUGGUAUUCUUAUCAGAUGCAGAAAAAAGCAGCAUCUGUAUAAUUUUUCACUGUAACCUUUCAAACAUUUUCUACCCGUUUAACCAGUCUUGGCCAAAGCCUAUACUGUGCUGCAGUUUCGGAUUGCUGCAUGCUGUUUUCUUCAAUUUAGUUUAUGUCUUUCACUCAGCUGCUUAUGUGUUUUUAUUAACAUCAUUUGCUAGUUUAUCCUUCCCAUCUUGUUUUCUGUGCUGUUGACUAAACAACAAAUUUUCAGUUUUGCACUCUUCAGAUUUGUCAAGAGUCACAUCUGAAAUAUCCUCAAGAUUGUUUAUUGAAAUAACAUUUAUCACAUUGUCAACAGGAUGAAUUAUGUUUGAUAUAAAGUCUGUGUUUUGGUUGUCCUUGGUGUUGAGGGUCAUCACGAUCAUGUUGUUAGAAAGGUUUUAACUAAUCAAAGCCAAGUACUUUACUCAGCCAGGUGAUAAGUUGAUAUCUCCUUCUUAUCUCUUCCUUUUCGGUGUUUGCCUCCCAGGUUACAGACGUUACCCGCCCGGUGUGCCAGGAAGUCAACACAAUAAGCAACUGUUCAUCUUCUAUGUCACUCUGUGCAGCCUCUCA
This 14058-nucleotide long non-coding RNA is filed under the name Xyrichtys novacula (pearly razorfish). The record is from RNAcentral. Lineage: Eukaryota; Metazoa; Chordata; Actinopteri; Labriformes; Labridae.